AGCUAUUAGAGUUUGAUCAUGGCUCAGAACGAACGUUAGCGGCGCGCCUAACACAUGCAAGUCGCACGAGAAAGGGCUUCGGCCCCGGUACAGUGGCGCACGGGUGAGUAACACGUGGGUAAUCUGCCUUCGAGCGGGGGAUAACAUUCCGAAAGGAGUGCUAAUACCGCAUAAGACCACGCCUCCGAAAGGAGAAGCGGUCAAAGCUGGCCUCUAUACAUAAGCUAGCACUCGAAAAUGAGCCCGCGGGGCAUCAGCUAGUUGGUGAGGUAAUGGCUCACCAAGGCUUAGACGCCUAGCUGGUCUGAGAGGAUGAUCAGCCACACUGGAACUGAGACACGGUCCAGACUCCUACGGGAGGCAGCAGUGGGGAAUCUUGCGCAAUGGGCGAAAGCCUGACGCAGCGACGCCGCGUGAGUGAUGAAGGCCUUCGGGUUGUAAAGCUCUGUGGGGAGAGAAGAAUAAGUGCAGGCUAAUACCCUGCAUGAUGACGGUAUCUCCUUAGCAAGCACCGGCUAACUCUGUGCCAGCAGCCGCGGUAAUG
This 544-nucleotide ribosomal RNA is filed under the name uncultured bacterium. RNAcentral describes it as "bacterial SSU rRNA". It matches the Rfam family "Bacterial small subunit ribosomal RNA", at positions 1 to 525 of the family's 1533-position model. The record is from RNAcentral.